RNA transcript from Pomacea canaliculata, 10298 nucleotides. RefSeq lists it as uncharacterized. The transcript is spliced from 9 exons. NCBI's taxonomy places the organism in Eukaryota, Metazoa, Mollusca, Gastropoda, Architaenioglossa, Ampullariidae. The record is from RefSeq and is a predicted model, not a curated record.
CUUCACUGUAUUGGUGACAGGCGCUAACAGCGCUAACCGUUGCGCCACCGGACCGCUAUAGAGUGAAGGGAAGUAAACAGUAGGAACAGCAUGAAAACAGAAUGUUUCUAUCAAAUAAUAGGUUAGCUUUUCGGUACUCAAAAGUAGUGCUGACAAAAUGUGUACUUAAGUGCAUAAAACACAGUGCUGGAGAUAGCUUGAUCAAAGGGCUAGAGUUUGCAGUUUAACAAGUCUGAAGAACUAAAUGGAGGUAAGCAAUGGAAGCAGCAUACAAGGAUCAAGGCUGUAAGAGAGAGAAAUAUAAAUUUCAUUGCAACUGUCUCACUGCAUGUCAAGGUUUGCAUAAAGGAGCAGAAAGAUGGGCAACGAUGAGGGUGAAGUAAAAAAACUGUGAAGAUACAGAGGUAACAGUAAUCAAGAAAAAAUUAUCAAUGAAGGAUUAUCAAGACAGACUAAUCAAGAGAUAUAAAACUAUAUAAAUACAUAAGAAAGGUGAGUGAGAAACCGGUUAGCAGUGGAUUGUGCUUACGAGUAGUGUUCACGAAAAAGAUUGGUGUUGAAAUCAAAGAUACUCAAUAUUCUAAGAUGGUUCAUAGCCCGAAAUCCACGAUGUACACACCGCCGACGGCGUUGCGCGCAGCGACCCUAGCGGUCUCCAUGGAGCAUAAUUUCAGGGGAGAUAACUGCAAGUGAUGAAGACAUUUUGUUUGUUGUCUGCUAAAUCUUAGUCCAGUAAUGUGCAUACCAUUACCAUCAUGAUAAUAUUUUGUCAACGUGUGCUACCAGUGUAUUAUCCUUAAAGUUUUUUUUCUACAUCAUUUUUUCUUCAUAAACACUAGCAAGCAACAAGCAAUUAAAAGGCCUACAUCAGUAGGCGUUAAGAGGAUGUUUACACUCAUAUUUAUCUUUUUAUUAUUAGUAUUCUUGUCUGAAUAUAUUUAGAAAUUUUCUUGCAUUUAAUCCUUUGGGUUUUUUAAAAAACUGUUUUUUGCUUGUUUUGUCUGUCCUACCAGUACACAGUCAAUAUGACAUGUGAACAAGAGUAUACUUACCAGAUUUUUCUUUCACACACACACACAUAAGAAUUAAGAAAAUGAAGUCAGAUAAAUUAAUGGUCAUGAUGUGAUGAAAAUUAGUGCACCGAUGUACUCAAAGACACUGUUUGUGUCAAGCUCACAUUUUAAAUUUAUUUGUACUUGACAGUCAGGCCAACCAGCUCUGUAUUAACAGUCAGUCUUCAAAUAGAAGUGUCAUAAAAAGCCCAAAAAAGUUAAAGUUAAAUUGUAAAUAGGACAAUAAAAGGACAUAAGUAAUAUUUUGAUAUUUUGAAAUACAGGAAAAGUGACCAGCUUAUGAAAACAUUAGACUCAAAUACACAAAUGACAAUCCUUAGGUAAACAUUUAAGUGAGCAUUAAACCACACAGCACAAAACAAUUUGCUUCAAAUAUUUCUUCAAAUUGCUCAAGUAAAUCUCAAGUGAUCCUAGGAUGAAAACAAAAUCAAUAGACAGAUAAAUAACAAAGUGCUGUGACAUGGAAAAUAAUCAAAAGUGAUUUAAUUUUAUAAACUUUCUGUUUCAUUGAGAAGAUUGACUGACAAACAGCCUUGUGUUUUCUUUUAAAAUAAAAUUUAAGCACACACUGUCGUACACUAUCGUUUUCAAGGGGAAAGAUUUACCAAGAGGUCACAAAUGACUGUUUCAAGACUUUGUCUGAAGCUGCACCAUUAGCCUUGCUGUCACUUGUCCAUGUGCAGAAUAUGUGCCAUGCAGGAAAUGAAUUUGUCUUCCAAUACCCGAAUAAUAUGAAACAACUAUGUGUUUGGUACAACCACACUUUCCUUUAGCGUUGGGUAUUGCUUAAGAGUUAGAAAUUGUUCAUGAUCUGUACUAGAAAGCUGGCCACUAUUUCACCUACUCUCCUUUAUAGCAAAUUCAUCAAAGUGAACAAAACUGUGAUCCAGCCAACAUCCCUGCAACUUUAUUCUUCAGUGAAUUAAGGAUAUUGUCAUUAAAUCCUGGAUAGACAUGAACUUAUGCCAUAGCACGUAGCCGUUUAAAUGCUUGGAAGGGCAAACAUUUUGUUAACCAUGUGAUAUGCCUUUGAGCUUAUUAUAUGAUAUAAUAACGAUGCAACGCACUUAUCUAUGUCUGACCAUCUCAUCUUUCGCUUUUUACCUAUUCGGAUCUGUGUCGCUGCAAAAUCAAGGGCAGGCUGAGGUAGAUGUUCAGACAAAUCUGUGAUGAGAGAUGUUUUAGAUCAGUUGUGGGUAAGGGGUGGAUACAAAAGGAAACGGAGUUUAAUGGAUUCAAUACAGCAUAACUUAAAAGCUGGUGAUCAUCUGCUACUGUUUUUGUGACAGGAGUAUAUAGUUUGAGCUUUUCAGAAGAAAAGUAAAGGAUUCUAAAUUUGCUGUAACUUUUCUCAUAACAAUCCCCGCAACCACCAAGCUAAACAUCUCUCAUCUUUUGGCUCGGUCAGCUGUAUAAAAGACUAGAGACAGGACUGCGAGAGAAAGAAUAAUGCAGUGACAGAGUACCUGGGGUUUGCCAGCUUCUUUCUACCCAACCACAGCAAGCAGUUCACAUCGUCCAUCGAUUCCAGACUCUGUGUUUGUGUCUAGAGAGCUUAUUGAGAUUUAGGUGACAUUAUCGGACAAUGGUGGGGUGGCGUUGUUCAAAGACAAGUUGGUGGUUACAGGUUCUCAGUGACACGGCUAUCGUUUUGCCGAUGCAAGCACUGCAGCUGCUGUUGUCAAGGCCUUGUCCAGAAUUAUGCAUUUGUUUGGCGUGAAUCUGUGUCCUGAGGUUUUCAAGUCCAUACACCAGACCAUUGUGUUUUACAACAAAACUUAACCACUACCUACAUCUCAGUAACAUGCCGGGAAGUUUUAUAUCAGACACUGCUGUCAGUUGCAUGUCUUCCAUAUCCAUCAUAGCUUUUGCAAGCUGCACCGCCUCUGCCUUCAGGGCCUGCUGGAUUCUAUCAAGUUGGAUCCCUAAAGAAACGGGGAAUGCCUUCCAUGGCGCCUAGCGAUAACAUUUUUUUACUUCUUUUAUUAAUAAGAAUUUUAUUAUUUAAUUAUUAUAAGCAUAAAUUAAUGUAAUGUGCUUUUUCGCCUUUAUGUCUGGCUGAUGCUGGAAAAAUGCGCCAUACAAAUGUGCUUUUUAUUUAUUAAACACACCUUUUAAGGCAAUGUAAUUAACCCGACCAUCCCAGUCCACAUUUUCACUACUAACGGGAAUUCAUUGAACACACGCGGCUCACUUGUGAAGGCUUGGUUGUAGAGUGUAGACAGACUGUCUCCGUGCCCUCGACACGCACGUAUCUGUUUCAUCAUGCAUACUUUGUAGUAAUUGUAGAACGUUUUCGCGGCAACGGCUUGAGCCUUUCUUAACCGAACCAAAAAUGGCGGAGCGCGCGUCACUCGCCACAGACUGGAGUGACGAGGAUUCAGAGGCCAACGUGCAGGAUGAAGCUACAAAAUAUGAGCUUGCACGGUCAGAAAUUUCUGGCCAAUAUAGACAAGAUGGAGACAGUUCUUCAGGGAAGGGUUUCGAUCUGGCUCCAGAUUAUGGAUCUUAUUAUUAUACUCGUCCUGCCACCCACCUGCCAAGACAAGGACCGGACGAAAUCAUUUUUGAUAUGAAGAACGGAACUCCUGAAAUUACAGAGGGUACACUCGGACGACUGCAUGGAAAGAACGAAGACAACAUGUUUGAAGCUCCUAUAAAAUCAAAAUCAGCGAAAGUUUUUGUAAUUGCAGCAAAGCAGACGGACAGGUAUCUGCUGGUACAGGGGGAACACACAACAAAGUGUAUUCGACUGCAACCUGAGACAACCCAGCAACAAAUCGUCGAAACAGCUUUUCCGGAAAAUCAUGGAAACAUGUCGGACGACGUGGUUUGCUUUUUUGUAAAAGAAAGUCGCUUGGAUCAGCUGGACUUGGUUCACAUGCUUGCAAAUUAUGAGCAGUGACCACAGUAAAAGUAGUUAGAAGCAAAGUUGUGAGAUUUGCAUUUGUGCACCGUUGCGAUGUAUUUUACGAAAAGACCUUUAUCGUCAAAGGAAAUAACACUGAUUGUUUGAAUGAACUAAAACUGAAAUUUCUCUCAUUCUUUUACGAAAAAGAAAAUAUUGAUACAGAGAUUAACCUGACUACGUUUGGUUUAUACUAAACAACAAAGUCCUGUCAGAACAAAUGUUGCAAUCAGCACUCUGUACGAAAUUCACCAGGAAAUUACUUCUCAGACUUCAAAAAUUGAGCUCCAUGAACAAUAACCUGACAAUAUUUGUUCACUUCCAACCACCUGAUGCGAUUCCUAUCAAAAUCCAGUUAAGAGCAGAUGGAAAGCCAAAUAAAAUCGAAAAAUUAACUGUAGUCUCCCAUCAGAUUUCGGAAUCACUUCUACGCCUGGAAGUGGCUCGUGUAACGGAAGCAAAACCAGAAGGUCUCGAAAUUCUUGUUUCAAAGAAGAAGCUGGAUGCUAAGCUUAACAUCCAGCAGGUAUUGCACAACAACUGCAUUGUUUCCGUGGAGGUUAAACAGGAAUCACCAUCGAGGUAGAGAUCUUGUAUGAAACUGAACCACUCCGUGAAGCGACUUGUGUCUCCGUUCGCAUGUACCCGUAUGACUGUAUAAGCAAACUUAAGUCAGAGGUGUGCACCCAGUAUUCUGCAAUAAAAGAAAACGUAGACAUAUACUUUGGAGAAAAAUACUUGACCGAUGAGAUGACUGUGAACGAAUGCCGAUUGAGAGAUACAGAUGUUGUUAAGGCACAUGUGUUCUUCAAACGAGUUUGUAUCAGAGUUCGAUCAACCAGUCGACGUCUGCAUGAUGUAGUUGUCGACGAUGCUGGAAAGACUACAGUCGGCGAUCUAAAUAUUUUUAUGCAGAAAAAUGAUAGAACGGCGCCAGCACAACACCCGUUUUCAACAACGGCUAUUUUCAAUGGCCGUAUUCUACAACAUGAUGAUACAUUGAUGAAUACAGGACUCUGCUCAAAAGCAUCCGUUCUAGUUUUUAUCCACACAGACACAACUUGUUUUACUUCGUCUUCCGCCCUGAAGGGAAAGUUGAUAGUCUAUUGCGACUCUGGACAAGGAUGGUUCCAGCCCACGUUGACAAUGUCUGAUGGAAAGGACCUUUGCUACGCACCUGAGGUUUCACAGACUACAGAGAAGAUACUUAGUCUGGUGGAAGAAAGGAGCCUCACCCCUCCAAUCUUGCAUGGCUCCGUGGAAGGGAUUCGAGUACUUUCAAACAAGCAGGCGACACAAAGUAAGCAGGUGAAACGAUAUCAGCAGCAGAACUCUGGCCGGACCGACUUACCUCCAUCAGUUCUAUGUUCUAGAAGACGUCGCCAGGUCUCGAACCCGUCUGCCCCCACGGUCCCUGAUUCUCCACGUUGCGGAGAGAGUCCUGGUGAUGGCGACAACAAAACGGUUAAUUGGUUUCUUGGCGACAGCCAGAAUGAAUCCGUCAGAUUCUCAGAACAAGACAGAAUAGCUGAUUCUCCGACCUUGCAGACUAAUUACCAGCACUCACUUCAAAAGAUGCAAGAAACACACUAGUGACUCAAAGACGAUCUACCUCCGAAACUUUGAAUAAUUUUCAAGACAUGACCUCAAAGUCUGAUGGAGAGUGUGUGAUGUCAAGAAAAAAAUUAAUGCACAAAUCGAUUUCUUUCCAAAGCAUUCAGAAACACCCCGACGGCAUGUUGACUAUCCAUCAGAUGUCGGAAAGUGAAACGUCACUACCUCCAGAAGCUGCCAAAGAGCAACAGUUCUUUGGGACGAAAUGGACCUUAGAUAAUUCCAUUGAGGAAACGAAAAACAACAGUUUACCUUUGCUACAGCACUUGCCUAGCAGCAGCAACUUUGAUUCUUCUUUCAGAUACAUAGACAGAAGAAUUGUUAAUGAGGUGGCCAAGCAGAUAGGCAAUAAUGGUCCAGAGCUAUGUCGUAAUCUUGGUGUCUUGGACAAAACGAUCGCAGAAGCACGAGAAGAACAUCCUGGAAAACUAACGGAACAAAACUACUUCAUGUUAACUUGCUGGUGCCGCUCUGCUGGCCGGAAGGGAACAAUAGAGGCCCUAAAGAAGGGACUGAGGGAGUGCCAGAGAAACGAUGUCGUAGCACUUAUUGACGAUCUUCAAAAGGAACUUUUGGCAUGUGAAGGAUUCCAGGAAAACGUACGAUGCUAGGGCUUAAGCCUUUUCACACACUUAACUAAGAUGGCGGAAGGUAGCCAGGCCUCAGACAGAAGCAGCGCAGGAAACCCUUUGAGUGAUGAAGAUGACAUGACACACUUGGACGUCGAGGACAUGUCUCUUGAGGCAGUGCCAAAAUCGAAAAUUCCCGUUCAAUCUGAUGACAGUUCAUCAUAUGAGAAGGAUUCUUCUGUCAGUUAUUAUGAUGCCCUCCCAAGAGAUGAAAGUAGGAACCCAUAUAACCUACGUGCUCGAAAUACGCGUGUACGCCAGCACAGCUAUCUCUCUAGCAGUGUGUCAAGUUCAACAGAACGACGAAACGUUAUUUUUGAUAUGAGGCACACAGAAGCGACUGGGUCUUGUGGAAAGUCGUAUAUUCCAGGUAAUCGUUCCUACCUGUCAUCCCAUUUUUCUGCUAGGGGAGACUCCAUCAUUGAGGUUUCUGUAAAAUCAAAAACCAUGAGCAUUUUUGUGAUCGCAGCAAAGCGGACAGACAGGUAUCUGCUUGUACAGGGCGAAGUGACGACAAGAUGUACUCGACUACAUCCUGAACUCACCCAGCAGCACAUCGUCCAAAUAGCAUUUCCAGAAACUAAUGAGCACACCUCAGACGAAAAGUUUUGCUUCUUUGUGAAAGAUCAUCGUUUGGAGAGAUUUGAUGUACUUCAUCUCCAGGCCAGUAGUGAGCAAGUAAUGACAGUAAAAGUAGUUAAAAUCAAAGCUAUCCGAUUUUCGUUUGUGUAUCGUUGCGGUGUAUUUUACGAAAAACACUUCAUCGUUAAAGGAAAGAACACGGACUGUUUGAGUGAACUAAAAUCAAAAUUUCUCGGAAGAUUCUUAAAAAACGAACAUCGUCACAAAGUCGUUCAUCCUGAUUGUGUUUGGUUUAUACUCAACAACAGAUUAGUUUCGGAGCAAGUGUUACAAUCAGCACUAUGUACAUCUUUUAGCAAGAGGUUACUAAUCAGAGAUGAAAGGUUGGGAGCAUACGGCUCCAAAAACAACUCUCUGACAAUGUAUGUUCACUUUCAAGCAGCUGAUGCAGUUCCUCUCAAAGUCCACUUUAAACCGGAUAGAAAGACCAGCAAAAUAGAGAUGUUAACUGUAAUAUCACCUUCAAUUUCUGAGACACAGCUGCGUCUACAGUUGGCGCUCGUUACAGAGGUGGAGCCAGAAGUCAUCAAAAUUGUUUUUGGAAAAAAGAAGCUGAAUGCUAAACUUGACAUUCAGCAAGCAUUGCGAGACAAUUCCAUUGUUUCAGUGGAAGUGAAACAGGAAAUCACUAUUGAGGUAGAGAUUUUCCAUCUACCUGAGUCGUCAGGUAAGGCAACAAGCAUCUCAGUGUGCAUGUACCCUUAUGAUCGCAUCAGCAAGAUUAAGUCAGAGGUGUGCACCAAGUGUCGUGCAAUGAAAGAAAAUGUGGACAUCUUUUUCGGAGACAAAUGCUUGUCUGAUAAGAUGACUGCAAGCGAAUGCCGAUUUAAAGACACAGACUCUGUCAAAGCAUAUGUGUUCUCUGAAAGGGUUUGCAUCAGAGUUCGAUCAGCCAGUCGACGUCUGUAUGAUGUAGUUAUCGAUGAUGCUGGAAAGACUACAGUAGGUGAUGUCAAGAAUUUCAUGCACAAAAUAGACAGUCCUACGUCCGCACAACACCAGUUUUCAACAGUCGCCAUUCUCGAUGGCCGAGUUCUUCAAGACGACGAAAUGCUUAUAAAUACAGGAAUCUGUUCAAAAUGUAAAGAAGCAGUUUUGGUUUUCAUUCACACAGACACCAUUUGCUUCACUUCGUCUUCCUCUUUAAAUGGAAAGUUUGUGAUAUUUCGUGACUCUGGAGAAGGAUGGUUUCAACUGACAUUGGCAAUGUCUGACGGAAAGGACCUUUUCUACGGUAAGAUGGUGUUAAUAAGUAAAAAUAAGGAUAGAUAUCUGGAGACGUUUAAAGCCAUUUUAAUAAUUUUAGUUAAAUCAUGUAAGUAUUUUCACGGAGGCUUUUGUAUUUCUGGUUUUGGCCAUUCUGGGCCGUUCAAAAUGAAAUGUCAGAAAAAGGAAAUGUCUUUCUCAAAAUACAUUAACAAUUUAUAAACCAUACGAUCAAAAAUUGGCUAAGCAAGUAAGAUGAAUAUUCAAAUAAUCUAUCACUGAAGUAUAUUUUAAGCAAUUAUACAUGUUUAAAAUAGAAUUGCAUAAUCAUGUGAAAUGUUGUCCGUUGAAUUAAGAAAACUACAUGGAUGCUUCAUUGCAAUAAUUCUGCAUAAUUUGCAAUUCUUUUAUUGUGUUUAAUAAUAUUUUGAAGCACCCGAGGUUUCUCCGACCAUAGAGAAGAUACUGAGUCUCGUGAAAGAGAGGAAUUUAACCCCUUCAGUCUUGCCUGGCCCUGUAGAUGGCAUUCAACUACUUCCACCCAGGCAGGUGACGAACAGAAAGAAAAUGGAAAGAUGUCGUACACAAAGCUGUGAAUUGACUGAUUUACCACCAUCACCUCAAUGGCAGGGAAGAUGUCGCCAUCCGUCCGAGGCCACCUGUCUUUCGCAUGAGCUUGAGAAUCAUGGUGAUCGUAACAACAGAAUAGUCGACUGGUCUCUUGGGGAUAGCCAGACUGAAGCUCAAAUCACAAAACAAGAUAGCAUAACUGACUGGCCUGCCUUACAGACAGAUUGCACACCAGGUCCCCAAACUUCCACACCUAAGACCGUCCGGCGCAGUGUAUCAGCAGGCAGUCUACGAGGAGUUGCCGGAGAUACUCGUGUCAGUCCAGCAAGAACUCUCAAGUUUCAACACUCCGUUUCCGACACAUUUUCGGAAAAUUUGCGCAAAUUUCAAGACUUGCCCUCGAACUCCGAUGGAGAAUUUGCAAGCUCUAAGCGAAGACAGUUUAUUCACAGGUCCUCUACCUACCAAAGCCUGCAGGAAGACGCUGAUGGCAAGUGGACACUGCGCCAGAUCUCAGAGAGUGAGACGUCACUUCCGGCAGAAGCAGCGCAGAAGCAGCUGGCCUGCGGGACCAACUGGAUUUCAACAGACGAUCCUAAAGACCGAGAGAAGGUGUACUGCUCUUCCUUGUUACAGUAUCUACCAGACAACACAACAAGCCUUGGGGAUUCUACUUUCAGAUACAUAAAGAAGACUAUUAUUCACGAGGUGUCCAAGAAAAUAGCUCGCGAUGGCAUGAAGCUAUGCCGUCAUCUUGGUGUCUUGGAUGAGACAGUGGAGGAAGCCAAAGAAGCACAUCCCCUGAACCUGUCGGAACAGAAUUACUACUUAUUGAAAUGCUGGUGCCGCUCUGCUGCAGAGAAGGCAACGGCUGAAGCUCUCAAAACUGCAUUGAGAGAGUGUCAGAGGAAUGAUCUUGUUGCUCUGGUUGAUGAUCUUCAAGUGGAACCCACGACAUGUUAAGGAAAAUGUUGCAAAAUAACAGUUAAUUCCUCUUAAAUAGUCUUAUAUCUCUGGUUCAUCCCUAAGUGAAAAAGGGAUACCGUGGGAUUAUCAUCUCUCAACUUGAGAUACAUGCCUUUUCUAAUAGAUACUUCUUAUUACAAUGACCACUGGUUUUAAUCGAAAAUAAAAUAAUGAUAAUAAAAUAAUUUGUAUAUUUUUCUGGAAAAUAUUUAAGAGUAAGAAUUUAAGGCGCGAGACGAUAGGACAAAUAUUGUAUAUAUGUGGCUAUGAAAUUUGAGAUUGUGAGCACACACAAUAUUUAAUUAGCAUUUAUUAAGCAAAGUCAGCAGGUCUAAGAAAUAUCUCAAAAUGAGAGAAAGAAAGAAAGUCUGGUUUCAAAGUACAUUCCCUUGUUCAUGUUAAAUAUAUAUGACUGUGUACUUUAUAGCUAAGUUCACAAUUGCUGGCCACUAUAGAUUCAUAUUUUUCUAUUUUGUCUGAAAAAAGUAUUGAUCAGAUAUCCCAUAUUUUUUCUAUUUUGUCUGAAAUAAAAUAUUGUUCAGAAUAUUUUUUCUAUUUUGUCUGAAAAAAAUAUUGUUCAGAUAUCCCAUAUUUUUUCUAUUUUGUCUGAAAUAAAAUAUUGUUCAGAUAUUCAAACAAUGUAUUGCAGUUAUACAUUACCAAAAGUUAUUCAUGUCAUAAAAUAAGCAU